UAGGGAAUCUUAGGCAAUGGGGGGAACCCUGACCGAGCAACGCCGCGUGAGUGAAGAAGGUUUUCGGAUCGUAAAGCUCUGUUGUUAAGGAAGAACGAGUGUGAGAAUGGAAAGUUCAUGCUGUGACGGUACUUAACCAGAAAGGGACGGCUAACUACGUGCCAGCAGCCGCGGUAAUACGUAGGUCCCGAGCGUUGUCCGGAUUUAUUGGGCGUAAAGCGAGCGCAGGCGGUUAGAUAAGUCUGAAGUUAAAGGCAGUGGCUCAACCAUUGUAGGCUUUGGAAACUGUUUAACUUGAGUGCAGAAGGGGAGCGGGGAAUUCCAUGUGUAGCGGUGAAAUGCGUAGAUAUAUGGAGGAACACCGGUGGCGAAAGCGGCUCUCUGGUCUGUAACUGACGCUGAGGCUCGAAAGCGUGGGGAGCGAACAGG
Molecule: ribosomal RNA, 429 nt
Filed under: Bacteroidota bacterium
Lineage: Bacteria; Pseudomonadati; Bacteroidota
Description: Bacteroidetes bacterium partial 16S ribosomal RNA
Rfam family: Bacterial small subunit ribosomal RNA
Source: RNAcentral